Molecule: long non-coding RNA, 219 nt
Organism: Rhea pennata
Lineage: Eukaryota; Metazoa; Chordata; Aves; Rheiformes; Rheidae
Exons: 3
Source: RefSeq, a predicted model, not a curated record
CGGUGCCCCGCUCCGCCCGGCGCGCCGGGAGCCGGGAGCAUGGCCAGGAAGGAGCCGCUGCUCAGCGCCCUCAGAGGCGGCGUGCUGCGGCUCCGGGACGGCAGCGGCCCCUGCACGGACGCCUCGCCGCACCUCGCCUCCUUCUGCCAGCUCCUGGAGGCCAUCCUGCGCAAGGGACUGAGACAGCCGCUGCUGAGCUUUGGGAGACGCGACUACUGG